RNAcentral lists this non-coding RNA (681 nucleotides) under Takobia yixiani. The record is from RNAcentral. Lineage: Eukaryota; Metazoa; Arthropoda; Insecta; Ephemeroptera; Baetidae.
AAAAUAAAGGUAACAUGGAAACCAUCUUUCUAAAUGACCUUCCCCCAGUGACUAGCCUUAGGAUUUAAAGAAAUUUAGAUCUAGUUAUUAUUUAAGCCCUGGCUAAACCCGUGCCAGCUGCCGCGGUUAAACGAAGAGGGCGAGUGAGUCCAUUCGGGUUACAGACCUAGGCCUACUCUCCCAACUUGAGGGUGAAAUCUAAGUUGGUUAGCAGCCUACACUUGCACCCUGUUAAAGCUCAUAACUAACUGGGAUUAGAUACCCCACUAUUAAGCCGUCAACCCCACCCGAGUAGUACCAGUUAAAGCUUUAAACUCAAAGAAUYUGGCGGUACCCUGCCUCUUUAGAGGACCCUGCCCCAUAAUCGAUGACCCACGUUUUGCCCAACCCAGGUUAAAAGUUUGUAUACCGCCGUCCAGGGGGUGUUGUAAAACUCCCCCUCAAUCAUUUUAUUGAAUAGAUCAGGUCAAGGUGCAGCCUAUGCCUUGGAGGUGGUGGGGUACAUUCCCCAGAGGUCCGAACUUUAAUUUUAAAAUUUAAACGAAGUUGGAUUUAAAAGUAAAUAAAUUUAAUUUAAUAAAUUGACUGAGUCCCAGGGUGUGCACACAUCGCCCGUCACUCUCUUCCCAACAAGAGAUAAGUCGUAACAUAGUAGGGGUACCGGAAGGUGCUCCUAGCCUG